Molecule: non-coding RNA, 204 nt
Organism: Oryza meridionalis
Lineage: Eukaryota; Viridiplantae; Streptophyta; Magnoliopsida; Poales; Poaceae
Source: Rfam
AAAAAAAUAAACCCUAAGUUUUCGUGCCAACGUUUGACUGACUGUCUUAUAUGAAUUUUUUUUAUAAUUAGUAUUUUUAUUGUUGUUAGAUGAUAAAACAUGAUUAAUACUUUAUGUGUGACUUAUCUUUUUAACUUUUUCAUAAUUUUUUUAAGUAAGAUGGACGGUCAAACUUUUAAACACAGAAAUCAGGUUUGUCUUUUU